CAGUAGCCGCGGGAAUACGUAGGGUGCAAGCGUUAAUCGGAAUUACUGGGCGUAAAGCGUGAGCAGGCGGUUAUAUAAGACAGAUGUGAAAUCCCCGGGCUCAACCUGGGAACUGCAUUUGUGACUGUAUAGCUAGAGUACGGCAGAGGGGGAUGGAAUUCCGCGUGUAGCAGUGAAAUGCGUAGAUAUGCGGAGGAACACCGAUGGCGAAGGCAAUCCCCUGGGCCUGUACUGACGCUCAUGCACGAAAGCGUGGGGAGCAAACAGGAUUAGAUACCCGUGUAGUCCCUGUCUCUUAUAC
RNAcentral lists this ribosomal RNA (301 nucleotides) under uncultured bacterium. RNAcentral's name for it is "partial 16S ribosomal RNA". It matches the Rfam family "Bacterial small subunit ribosomal RNA", at positions 509 to 807 of the family's 1533-position model. The record is from RNAcentral.